RNAcentral lists this ribosomal RNA (465 nucleotides) under Vreelandella stevensii. RNAcentral's name for it is "partial 16S ribosomal RNA". It matches the Rfam family "Bacterial small subunit ribosomal RNA", at positions 338 to 795 of the family's 1533-position model. Lineage: Bacteria; Pseudomonadati; Pseudomonadota; Gammaproteobacteria; Oceanospirillales; Halomonadaceae. The record is from RNAcentral.
CCUACGGGCGGCUGCAGUGGGGAAUAUUGGACAAUGGGGGGAACCCUGAUCCAGCCAUGCCGCGUGUGUGAAGAAGGCCCUCGGGUUGUAAAGCACUUUCAGUGAGGAAGAACGCCUGGUGGUUAAUACCCAUCAGGAAAGACAUCACUCACAGAAGAAGCACCGGCUAACUCCGUGCCAGCAGCCGCGGUAAUACGGAGGGUGCGAGCGUUAAUCGGAAUUACUGGGCGUAAAGCGCGUGUAGGUGGCUUGAUAAGCCGGUUGUGAAAGCCCCGGGCUCAACCUGGGAACGGCAUCCGGAACUGUCAAGCUAGAGUGCAGGAGAGGAAGGUAGAAUUCCCGGUGUAGCGGUGAAAUGCGUAGAGAUCGGGAGGAAUACCAGUGGCGAAGGCGGCCUUCUGGACUGACACUGACACUGAGGUGCGAAAGCGUGGGUAGCAAACAGGAUUAGAUACCCGUGUAGUC